Molecule: ribosomal RNA, 497 nt
Filed under: uncultured bacterium
Lineage: Bacteria
Description: partial 16S ribosomal RNA
Rfam family: Bacterial small subunit ribosomal RNA
Source: RNAcentral
GAUGAACGCUGGCGGCGUGCCUAAUUCAUGCAAGUCGAGCGAACAGACGAGGAGCUUGCUCCUCUGACGUUAGCGGCGGACGGGUGAGUAACACGUGGAUAACCUACCUAUAAGACUGGGAUAACUUCGGGAAACCGGAGCUAAUACCGGAUAAUAUAUUGAACCGCAUGGUUCAAUAGUGAAAGACGGUUUUGCUGUCACUUAUAGAUGGAUCCGCGCCGCAUUAGCUAGUUGGUAAGGUAACGGCUUACCAAGGCAACGAUGCGUAGCCGACCUGAGAGGGUGAUCGGCCACACUGGAACUGGGACACGGUCCAGAUGGCGACGGGAGGCAGCAGGAGGGAAUCUGCCGCAAUGGGCGAAAGCCUGACAGAGCGACGCCGCGUGAGGGAUGAAGGUCUUCGGAUCGUAAGACUCACUUAUUAGGGAAAAACAAAUGUAUAAGUAACUAUGCACGGAUGAAAGGUACCUAGACAGAAAACCGAGGCUAACUACAUG